Molecule: ribosomal RNA, 1371 nt
Filed under: Vibrio alginolyticus
Lineage: Bacteria; Pseudomonadati; Pseudomonadota; Gammaproteobacteria; Vibrionales; Vibrionaceae
Description: bacterial SSU rRNA
Rfam family: Bacterial small subunit ribosomal RNA
Source: RNAcentral
ACGAUAACGGCGUCGAGCGGCGGACGGGUGAGUAAUGCCUAGGAAAUUGCCCUGAUGUGGGGGAUAACCAUUGGAAACGAUGGCUAAUACCGCAUGAUGCCUACGGGCCAAAGAGGGGGACCUUCGGGCCUCUCGCGUCAGGAUAUGCCUAGGUGGGAUUAGCUAGUUGGUGAGGUAAGGGCUCACCAAGGCGACGAUCCCUAGCUGGUCUGAGAGGAUGAUCAGCCACACUGGAACUGAGACACGGUCCAGACUCCUACGGGAGGCAGCAGUGGGGAAUAUUGCACAAUGGGCGCAAGCCUGAUGCAGCCAUGCCGCGUGUGUGAAGAAGGCCUUCGGGUUGUAAAGCACUUUCAGUCGUGAGGAAGGUAGUGUAGUUAAUAGCUGCAUUAUUUGACGUUAGCGACAGAAGAAGCACCGGCUAACUCCGUGCCAGCAGCCGCGGUAAUACGGAGGGUGCGAGCGUUAAUCGGAAUUACUGGGCGUAAAGCGCAUGCAGGUGGUUUGUUAAGUCAGAUGUGAAAGCCCGGGGCUCAACCUCGGAAUAGCAUUUGAAACUGGCAGACUAGAGUACUGUAGAGGGGGGUAGAAUUUCAGGUGUAGCGGUGAAAUGCGUAGAGAUCUGAAGGAAUACCGGUGGCGAAGGCGGCCCCCUGGACAGAUACUGACACUCAGAUGCGAAAGCGUGGGGAGCAAACAGGAUUAGAUACCCUGGUAGUCCACGCCGUAAACGAUGUCUACUUGGAGGUUGUGGCCUUGAGCCGUGGCUUUCGGAGCUAACGCGUUAAGUAGACCGCCUGGGGAGUACGGUCGCAAGAUUAAAACUCAAAUGAAUUGACGGGGGCCCGCACAAGCGGUGGAGCAUGUGGUUUAAUUCGAUGCAACGCGAAGAACCUUACCUACUCUUGACAUCCAGAGAACUUUCCAGAGAUGGAUUGGUGCCUUCGGGAACUCUGAGACAGGUGCUGCAUGGCUGUCGUCAGCUCGUGUUGUGAAAUGUUGGGUUAAGUCCCGCAACGAGCGCAACCCUUAUCCUUGUUUGCCAGCGAGUAAUGUCGGGAACUCCAGGGAGACUGCCGGUGAUAAACCGGAGGAAGGUGGGGACGACGUCAAGUCAUCAUGGCCCUUACGAGUAGGGCUACACACGUGCUACAAUGGCGCAUACAGAGGGCGGCCAACUUGCGAAAGUGAGCGAAUCCCAAAAAGUGCGUCGUAGUCCGGAUUGGAGUCUGCAACUCGACUCCAUGAAGUCGGAAUCGCUAGUAAUCGUGGAUCAGAAUGCCACGGUGAAUACGUUCCCGGGCCUUGUACACACCGCCCGUCACACCAUGGGAGUGGGCUGCAAAAGAAGUAGGUAGUUUAACCUUCGGG